GACGAACGCUGGCGGCGUGCUUAACACAUGCAAGUCGAACGCGCCUGUACUCUGGGUUUCUGGGGGGUGGGGGAGUGGCGCACGGGUGAGUAGAAUGAGAGUAACCUGACCCCUUCUUCGGGAUAAAGGUCUGAAAGGGCUGCUAAUAACGGGUAUUCACUGAUCUCCGCAUGGGGUCUGGCGGAAAGGUUUUUGUGUGGUGGGGGAUGGGCUCGCGGCCUGUCAGCUGGUUGGUGGGGUGAUGGCCCAGCAAGGCUUUGACGGGUAGCCGGCCUGAUCGGGUGACCGGGCACAGUGGGACUGAGCUACGUCCCAGACUCCGACGGGGUGCAGCAUAGUGGAAUAUGGGACAAUGGGUGCAAGACUGAUGCAGCGACGCCGCGGGAGGGAUGGAGGCCUUCGGGUUGUGAAGCUCGUUCGCCCGUGCUCAAGCCGCGACGUGGGUCGUGGUGAGGGUAGUGGGUAAAGAAGCGCCGGCUAACUACGUG
RNAcentral lists this ribosomal RNA (488 nucleotides) under uncultured bacterium. RNAcentral describes it as "partial 16S ribosomal RNA". It matches the Rfam family "Bacterial small subunit ribosomal RNA", at positions 28 to 507 of the family's 1533-position model. The record is from RNAcentral.